AUUAAUUCCUACUUCCUUCCUAACCUUUUUUUAGUGCCUACUUGCCUUCUAGGCUGAGCUCGUCACAUGGGACUUGCCUAGUGCAGUUUGCUCUCCUGUGCAGUUUGUGAGCUAUUGCAUACGAGUGGUUGGGGUUCCCUUAUCAUUGAAAAAGAGAGCAUUUUUCCCCUGUUCCUGCGAGACUAAAAUAUGAACCAAAAGAAGAAGUACUAGGACUACAACCUCAGGGGUCGUUUGG
This 238-nucleotide unclassified non-coding RNA is filed under the name Hevea brasiliensis (rubber tree). The record is from RNAcentral. Lineage: Eukaryota; Viridiplantae; Streptophyta; Magnoliopsida; Malpighiales; Euphorbiaceae.